CCCUGCUAGCCUUUUCCCAAUGAUUUUAGUACUAAUGGCAAAGGGUUCACCUGAGUUAGCGCACUGUUAUCUGCGGGAUGAUACGCUCGCAGCUGAAUAUCAAAGAAUAAUAGGAAUUAAGGGAGUUGGCCUUUUCUAUCGAAUCAGUAAUGAGCCGUCCAUCACCAUCUUUGAUCGCCGGAACAUUUUCUGUUUCCUUUACAUCUUUUUACAUAUUUGUAGAAAUCAGUCCAGCAUUUACCUUCAUUUCUUAAUAAUGUCCUUAAAAAUGUUUCCUGUUCAUUUUGUUUGGCUAAUAGCAACUGCUUUGAGAGUCAUUCCAGUUCCUCUUGGUACUGUUGCUCUAUUUUUCUUCUAUUAUAUGCUUUUCUGACUUUUGACUUUAACCAGUUCACUUCCUUAUUGUAGUAUUCAGGGUCUGAAUUUUUCCUCAGUAUUUUAUGUGGCACAAAACGUUUGUAAUCCUAAAACAUUUGUUAUAUGGUACACCAGGACUAAUCUUUCUACCUGAGGUUCACAGCAAUUUUCUUCCCAUUCCACUUCUAACAAUACCCAAAGUUGUCACUGAUCCCCUGUACAAUGCUGCAGGAGGUAAACAAACUUUCAGGCUGGACAAGGUAAACAUCCUGCAAUGCAUCCCCUCUGGUUGGACUAUCUACUACCUGCAUAUAACCAUUUUCCCAUAGCAGUCUAUUUAUGAGUGCCUGAUUUCCACGUUUCCAUUCCAAUCUGCAUAGGGCAAGUUCAAAUAACCUCCAACAAUGCUACGCCUCGUAGAAUUUCCUAAAUAACAGGUUUGGGCUGUCAAUCUUUCUAUAACUCGCAUGUCCUCGUUCUGAGCUCUGUAGAUGCCUGAUAUCCCAUGUAAAUUUAGGGUCCCUGCCUUUUGCUUCAACUACUAACAUCUCAAAGUCCUCAUCCACCCAUAGUUCCAAGCAAGCUAUGUAAUUUUUUUACACAAAUGAACACUCCCCCCACCUUGUGUAUUCCUGUCUCUCCUAAAGGUUGUGUAAUCGUUCCUAACUCAGGCGAACCCUUCGCCAUUAGUACUAAAAUCAUUAGAAAAAGGCUAGCAGGGAUGGGAAAAAGCAAAUCAGUAGGGCCUGACAGCAUUUCUGGGGAUAUUCUAAAAUUGGGUGGGGAAGCCAUGAUUCCAUACCUGGCGCGAUUAUUGGACGUAACAAUUAAUAAUGCCACUAUACCAAGGGACUGGAAAAAAGCCAUAGUGGUUCCUAUUUACAAAGGAGGUGAUCGAUCAUUGGUCACAAAUUACAGACCGGUCAGUUUAACAUCGGUGGUCUGCAAACAAAUGGAACACGUUAUAGCAUCUUGUAAAUACUUGGGAAUUAUCUUAAGCAGCGAUUUAAGCUGGGCUGAUCAAGUAAAUUAUACGGU
Molecule: non-coding RNA, 1395 nt
Organism: Zootermopsis nevadensis
Lineage: Eukaryota; Metazoa; Arthropoda; Insecta; Blattodea; Termopsidae
Source: RefSeq, a predicted model, not a curated record